RNAcentral lists this microRNA (24 nucleotides) under Plutella xylostella (diamondback moth). Its description in RNAcentral is "pxy-miR-8508". The record is from miRBase by way of RNAcentral. Lineage: Eukaryota; Metazoa; Arthropoda; Insecta; Lepidoptera; Plutellidae.
AUGAGACCUGGCAUAAAGAUAAAA